GCAGAUGUAUCGAAGUGGUCAUAACGGGGCUGACUCGAAAUCAGUUAGGGAGAAAUCCCCCGUGGGUUCGAAUCCCACCGUCUGCGCCA
This 89-nucleotide transfer RNA is filed under the name Escherichia coli. RNAcentral's name for it is "tRNA-Ser". It matches the Rfam family "tRNA". Rfam says of the family: Transfer RNA (tRNA) molecules are approximately 80 nucleotides in length. Their secondary structure includes four short double-helical elements and three loops (D, anti-codon, and T loops). Lineage: Bacteria; Pseudomonadati; Pseudomonadota; Gammaproteobacteria; Enterobacterales; Enterobacteriaceae. RNAcentral also lists the same sequence under 1 other name. The record is from RNAcentral.